RNAcentral lists this ribosomal RNA (265 nucleotides) under uncultured archaeon. RNAcentral describes it as "partial 16S ribosomal RNA". It matches the Rfam family "Archaeal small subunit ribosomal RNA", at positions 718 to 982 of the family's 1478-position model. The record is from RNAcentral.
AGUCACUGACAUUAGACUACCCCCGUAGUCCCAGCCGUAAACUAUGCGCGUUAGGUGUAUCGGUGACCACGAGUCACCGAGGUGCCGAAGGGAAACCGUGAAACGUGCCGCCUGGGAAGUACGGUCGCAAGGCUGAAACUUAAAGGAAUUGGCGGGGAGCACCACAACGGGUGGAGCCUGCGGUUUAAUUGGACUCAACGCCGGGAAGCUCACCGGAUAAGACAGCGGAAUGAUUGCCGGGCUGAAGACUCUGCAUGACUAGCUG